CAUGCAAGUCGAGCGGGUUUGUCCUUCGGGAUAAGCUAGCGGCGGACGGGUGAGUAACACGUAGGUAACCUGCCUUUAAGACUGGGAUAACUAUCGGAAACGAUAGCUAAGACCGGAUAACUGGUUUUCUCGCAUGAGAGAAUCAUAAAACACGGAGCAAUCUGUGGCUUGAAGAUGGGCCUGCGGCGCAUUAGCUAGUUGGUGAGGUAACGGCUCACCAAGGCGACGAUGCGUAGCCGACCUGAGAGGGUGAACGGCCACACUGGGACUGAGACACGGCCCAGACUCCUACGGGAGGCAGCAGUAGGGAAUCUUCCGCAAUGGACGCAAGUCUGACGGAGCAACGCCGCGUGAGUGAUGAAGGUUUUCGGAUCGUAAAGCUCUGUUGCCCUAGACGAACAGCAAGAGGAGUAACUGCCUUUUGUGUGACGGUAUAGGAGAAGAAAGCCCCGGCUAACUACGUGCCAGCAGCCGCGGUAAUACGUAGGGGGCAAGCGUUGUCCGGAAUUAUUGGGCGUAAAGCGCGCGCAGGCGGUCAUUUAAGUCUGGUGUUUAAUCCUGGGGCUCAACCCCAGUUCGCAUCGGAAACUGGAUGACUUGAGUGUAAGAGAGGAAAGUGGAAUUCCACGUGUAGCGGUGAAAUGCGUAGAGAUGUGGAGGAACACCAGUGGCGAAGGCGACUUUCUGGCUUAUAACUGACGCUGAGGCGCGAAAGCGUGGGGAGCAAACAGGAUA
This 735-nucleotide ribosomal RNA is filed under the name Paenibacillus sp. 1.1-10. RNAcentral's name for it is "bacterial SSU rRNA". It matches the Rfam family "Bacterial small subunit ribosomal RNA", at positions 54 to 779 of the family's 1533-position model. The record is from RNAcentral. Lineage: Bacteria; Bacillati; Bacillota; Bacilli; Caryophanales; Paenibacillaceae.